AAAAAGACAAACCCUGGAUUUCCGUGUCCAACGUUUAACUGUCCGUCUUAUAUGAAAUUUUUUUAUAAUUAGUAUUUUCAUUGUUGUUAGAUGAUAAAACAUGAUUAAUACUUUAUGCGUGACUUGUCUUUUUAAUUUUUUUUGUAAUUUUCUCAAAUAAAACAGACGGUCAAACGUUGGACACGGAAAUAUAAGGUUCGUCUUAUU
This is a non-coding RNA of Oryza nivara, 207 nucleotides long. The record is from Rfam. NCBI's taxonomy places the organism in Eukaryota, Viridiplantae, Streptophyta, Magnoliopsida, Poales, Poaceae.